Long non-coding RNA from Erinaceus europaeus (western European hedgehog), 1063 nucleotides. RefSeq lists it as uncharacterized. The record is from RefSeq and is a predicted model, not a curated record. Lineage: Eukaryota; Metazoa; Chordata; Mammalia; Eulipotyphla; Erinaceidae. The transcript is spliced from 3 exons.
GAAUGACAAAGCGCCAUUAAAGAGAAACAUAUUCUACCUAUGUGACUUUCUUCUCCAUGAUUGUUAGAAAUGAGCUUCUGAGCUAUGAUGUGCAGAAUUGAGCACAGCACAGAUAGCAGGCAGUGCUUCAGCAAUCACCAAGCAUUUGGGGUAGGCGAGACUCAUUAUCUCCCACCCUGUUACAAGGUCCUUAGAGAGGUGAUGUAUUCUAAAUACUUCCCAGAUGCCAGCCUUGUAUCCUGAGUUGAAUGUUAUUCCUACUUGCUCCUCUCCUCUCCCUUUAUCCUGGAUCCAGAGAGGAAAAUAUCUCUUGCACUUCUAACCAUCUAGGCUCUUUCUAAAACCUGAACUAACACAAGGAGUAUUCCAGUCCUGUCUGUCAUUGUGCAUGGUGGUUUAGGCUUCCAGCAGAAAGUGUUCCUGCAAACAAGGAGCGGACUUGUCGCCUCUGUUACCCAGCAGGAGUCGGACAUCUCCUCUACCGUCUUCUGCUGUUGAAAGGAAUCACCCAGAGUAGGUGAGGAACAAUACAUUCCACCUUUUUGUAGGAAGAGCUGUGCAAUCUGCUGUCAUGUCUUUGAACCGCCACACGAGGUCACCCUUUCCCCUUUUGAAAUUGUCCGUCAUUUAACGCUGGAGAUGUUCGUCUUAAUUCUUAAGUAUAUUUACUACACCAAAAAUGCUGUAUGGCUCAACCAAGAUAAAUGUCAUUGUUUCUUUGGUGUUAAUACUGCUUUUUCCUGCAAUUAUAGAAGACUGCCAUGUAUUUCUGAUGGUUCUAGAUGUGACCGAGCUGCUCUGGGCACUAGCAGCUUAAGAACGUGAGUUGCUCCUUGUUUUGACCUCAACCUGAAGGGCAGUUGCAAUGUACUCUGGAACUUAAUUGGCAGUGACAGUUCUUGUUUUGCAUGCUACAGAAACUGAAAACCUUAUGUGGUCAAACAGAAGUCAUUUUCAUGUGAUGUAGAAGGUUCAGUGUACAUUCUCCAGGAAGCUGGAGUGGAAUGAGACGUGAGCUGAGGAGGUGUUGAGGAGCGGAUGUCUGCUAGACAAUUUCUCCUGG